GUACCCUCAAGCUCUGCUUGGUGUUGGGUGUUUGUCCCGCUUUUGCGUGUGGACUCGCCUUAAAGCAAUUGGCAGCCGGCAUAUUGGCCUGGAGCGCAGCACAUUUUGCACUUCUUGCCUUUAGAUGUCGAGCAUCCAGAUAGCAAACUUUUUGCU
RNAcentral lists this unclassified non-coding RNA (156 nucleotides) under uncultured Pleosporales. RNAcentral's name for it is "sequence contains ITS2". The record is from RNAcentral. Lineage: Eukaryota; Fungi; Ascomycota; Dothideomycetes; Pleosporales.